Molecule: ribosomal RNA, 250 nt
Filed under: Trypanosoma vegrandis
Lineage: Eukaryota; Euglenozoa; Kinetoplastea; Trypanosomatida; Trypanosomatidae
Description: partial small subunit ribosomal RNA
Rfam family: Eukaryotic small subunit ribosomal RNA
Source: RNAcentral
UUUUAGCCUGAGAAAUAGCUACCACUUCUACGGAGGGCAGCAGGCGUGCAAAUUGCCCAAUGUCAAAAAAAACGAUGAGGCAGCGAAAAGAAAUAGAGCCGGCAGUGCCACUGGCAUUGCCGUUUUCAAUGGGGGAUAUUUAAACCCAUCCAAAAUCGAGUAUCAAUUGGAGGACAAGUCUGGUGCCAGCACCCNCGGUAAUUCCAGCUCCAAAAGCGUAUAUUAAUGCUGUUGCUGUUAAAGGGUUCGA